AUUGAACGCUGGCGGCAUGCCUUACACAUGCAAGUCGAACGGCAGCACGGGUGCUUGCACCUGGUGGCGAGUGGCGAACGGGUGAGUAAUAUAUCGGAACGUACCUUAUCGUGGGGGAUAACGCAGCGAAAGCUGCGCUAAUACCGCAUACGCCCUGAGGGGGAAAGCGGGGGACCGUAAGGCCUCGCGCGAUUAGAGCGGCCGAUAUCUGAUUAGCUUGUUGGUGGGGUAAAAGCCCACCAAGGCGACGAUCAGUAGCUGGUCUGAGAGGACGAUCAGCCACACUGGGACUGAGACACGGCCCAGACUCCUACGGGAGGCAGCAGUGGGGAAUUUUGGACAAUGGGGGCAACCCUGAUCCAGCAAUGCCGCGUGAGUGAAGAAGGGCCUUCGGGUUGUAAAGCACUUUUGGCAGGAAAGAAAUCGCAUCAAUUAANACUUGGUGUGGAUGACGGUACCUGCAGAAUAAGCACCGGCUAAC
RNAcentral lists this ribosomal RNA (481 nucleotides) under uncultured bacterium. Its description in RNAcentral is "bacterial SSU rRNA". It matches the Rfam family "Bacterial small subunit ribosomal RNA", at positions 30 to 501 of the family's 1533-position model. The record is from RNAcentral.